GUGAGGAAUAUUGCGCAAUGGACGAAAGUCUGACGCAGCCAUGCCGCGUGAAGGAUUGACGGCCCUAUGGGUUGUAAACUUCUUUUGUAUAGGAAUAAACCCUCGUUCGUGAACGAGGCUGAAGGUACUAUAAGAAUAAGCACCGGCUAACUCCGUGCCAGCAGCCGCGGUAAUAGGGAGGGUGCAAGCGUUAUCCGGAUUUAUUGGGUUUAAAGGGUCCGUAGGCGGAUCGUUAAGUCAGUGGUGAAAUCCUACCGCUCAACGGUAGAACUGCCAUUGAUACUGGCGAUCUUGAGUAUGUAUGAAGUUGGCGGAAUGUGUGGUGUAGCGGUGAAAUGCUUAGAUAUCACACAGAACACCGAUUGCGAAGGCAGCUGACUAAUACACAACUGACGCUGAGGGACGAAAGUGUGGGGAUCAAACAGGAUUAGAUACCCUGGUAGUCC
This 446-nucleotide ribosomal RNA is filed under the name uncultured bacterium. Its description in RNAcentral is "partial 16S ribosomal RNA". It matches the Rfam family "Bacterial small subunit ribosomal RNA", at positions 354 to 796 of the family's 1533-position model. The record is from RNAcentral.